Molecule: transfer RNA, 85 nt
Filed under: Dorea sp.
Lineage: Bacteria; Bacillati; Bacillota; Clostridia; Lachnospirales; Lachnospiraceae
Also listed under: 1 other name
Description: tRNA-Ser
Rfam family: tRNA
About the family: Transfer RNA (tRNA) molecules are approximately 80 nucleotides in length. Their secondary structure includes four short double-helical elements and three loops (D, anti-codon, and T loops).
Source: RNAcentral
GGAGAGAUGUCCGAGUGGUUUAAGGUGUAGCUCUCGAAAAGCUAUGAACCGAAAGGUUCCGAGGGUUCGAAUCCCUCUCUCUCCG